GAUGAACGCUGGCGGCGUGCCUAAUACAUGCAAGUCGAGCGAACAGACGAGGAGCUUGCUCCUCUGACGUUAGCGGCGGACGGGUGAGUAACACGUGGAUAACCUACCUAUAAGACUGGGAUAACUUCGGGAAACCGGAGCUAAUACCGGAUAAUAUAUUGAACCGCAUGGUUCAAUAGUGAAAGACGGUUUUGCUGUCACUUAUAGAUGGAUUCGCGCCGCAUUAGCUAGUUGGUAAGGUAACGGCUUACCAAGGCAACGAUGCGUAGCCGACCUGAGAGGGUGAUCAGCCACACUGGAACUGAGACACGGUCCAGACUCCUACGGGAGGCAGCAGUAGGGAAUAUUCCGCAAUGGGCGAAAGCCUGACGGAGCAACGCCGCGUGAGUGAUGAAGGUCUUCGGAUCGUAAAACUCUGUUAUUAGGGAAGAACAAAUGUGUAAGUAACUAUGCACGUCUUGACGGUACCUAAUCAGAAAGCCACGGCUAACUACGUG
Molecule: ribosomal RNA, 497 nt
Filed under: uncultured bacterium
Lineage: Bacteria
Description: partial 16S ribosomal RNA
Rfam family: Bacterial small subunit ribosomal RNA
Source: RNAcentral